CUAAGGCAGCAGAUAACUUUAAAAGGCCGUAGACUUUAGCUGGAAAUGGUGCAGUUGGCAGGUACAUGUUGUACCUUAUAGCUGUUUUCAGCCCUGCCCGAGGUCUGCCUGGCAUUAGUUUCAAAUUCCAGCCAUGUCAUUAUGGUGGGGGAUCUGAUAUGCAAGAACAAUGUUUAAAAAGGCACUUUCCUUUUAUUUUUUAAAUUGACUUAGAGAUGCAGGUAUUUAAGUCUGAUUGGCAAGAUGUAGAGUCCUAUGCAGAGGAGAUCAGACUUUGUUUUUGAGAGCUGUUUUUUCAAAAGAACGAGACAUUUACUUGAAGUUAAAAUCUUUUGGAAUAAUGAGUUGGUUUGGAUGUUGGGGCUUUUAAAUUUUUUUUAAAGAAAACUCAGUUAUGCCAGCUACAAACAUUACAAUUGAUUUGUUGGGGAUGGGGGUGGAGAUGGGUGGGCAUUUGAGUCCUAUUUUUCAUUUGCUUUUGGGACUGGCUUAAUGGCUGAGUGUGCUGAAGGUGUUACUUGAAGCAUAUCAAGAAAAUUAAUCUAGGCCAGAGGGAGCUAUUCUUCAUCUGGUUCUUCUGGUCAGGCACUUCUCAAAUGCCUUUCCUCACCUGGCAGAGUGAAGACUAAGCUUGGAUCAUGGCCCUACUGUUAAAAUCACAGUCAUCCAAUGCAUGGCUGUUGGGACAUUUUGUUGGGCUUUUUGUUGUUGUUAUUGGGGGGUUUUUGUUUGUUUGUUGGGGUUUUCCCUAAUUUUUUCUGUUUUUUGGUUAGUUUUGUUUUUAAUUUUUCUUGUUUGUUUCAUUUUUUUUUUUUUUGUGGUGGUUUUUUUUGGGGUUUUUUUUUCUUUUUUUUUUUUUGGAGAGAGAAAUCAUUUUGGUUUGGGUUUUUAUGUGGCUCAUUCUUGUUGCAGUGGAGGGGUUUGUGCCCGCAGAACAGCACUGACAGAUUGGUACCUGCAAUCAUUUGAUGACCUUUUGCUUCCCUUUUGGCAUGUGUACACUUGCAGAAAAUUUGGUUUGAAAUAAAAUGCAUCUCACUGCUAAGCAUUUGAGUUAUUUAGUAAACAAUUUUACACAUGUUCUUAAAGGCAAGCCUGAACAAUACAGUGCAAAACAGGGCCUUAUUUGUUUCUUAUUAAAACAUAUUAAGCUGAGCUCUAUUCUGGGCUUUACUACUUUUCCAUUUUACUUGAUUAUAAAAUCUUUGGAAGGAAUCAUGCCACAUAAUGCGCUGUUCUGGUUUUCCAUUUGGACAGGUUGCACAGACAGUGUUCCUCUUUUGAAGGGAUCAGGAUUUUUGAUGCUCUAGCUCACACAGUGCAUCAGAGGAGAGCAGGCAUCUUCUUCAACAGGUCAGCAAGGGAAUCUGGACAAGCCUGUGCUUUGCUGUUGAUUUUACUGUUCCUGGGGUUCAGAGUCCUUCUGUGCAUCCUCUAAAAAUGAGACAUGCAAAUGUACUGGCCCAGUCUGGUCAUUUAUCUUGUGGAGUUUCCCAGCUCAGUCAUCAAAGUGUUUUUGUACUGAAAAACCCCCACACUUUCCACAGUCAUGCCUGGGAACUAAAAUCUGUAAGCAUUCAGCGUCAAAGGUUUUAUGAUACAAUUGAGUUUCCUACCUUUCUUACAGUACCUUCAUAUUCCAAUAGCGAUAAGUAAUUCCUUCUGCCCAGUCCUGUGAAGAGUAUCACCUUUUUCUCUUAAUUUCAUGUUGACAAUAUCCCCCACAAAUACUAAUUACUGUUUCUUAAAUAGAUGGCCACACUGAGUACAUGUUCAAUUAAAUGUCAGACGUUUUUACUUUUAGUUUGCAUUUAGUUAUGCCCCAGAGAUGAACAUGACUCCAAGUGCUGCUGGCCAAGGGUACAUGAUACAGUGACCUUUAUCCAAUUGCUCUUCUGCUUAUCACAUGGCUGUUUGUGAUGCAUGCCUAGCAUAGACACGGAGUGAGGAAAAGAACUGUAACCAUAGCAAAAAAAAGAAAAAAA
Molecule: long non-coding RNA, 1985 nt
Filed under: Taeniopygia guttata (zebra finch)
Lineage: Eukaryota; Metazoa; Chordata; Aves; Passeriformes; Estrildidae
Description: lncRNA (ENSTGUG00000024644.1)
Source: RNAcentral